RNAcentral lists this transfer RNA (64 nucleotides) under Furcilarnaca chirurga. Its description in RNAcentral is "tRNA-His". The record is from RNAcentral. Lineage: Eukaryota; Metazoa; Arthropoda; Insecta; Orthoptera; Gryllacrididae.
ACUUAAAUAGUUUAAUUUAAAAUAUUGAUUUGUGGUGUCAAGGAUAUGUUGUGCAUUUUGAGUU